GGAUCAAUAUUUCGGUCGAUGCCGGUUGGUAUGCACUGUUAUCAUUGAGUUUCUCGACCUUCUAAAGAACCGUAAUGCCAUUAAUUUGGUGUUACGGGGAAUUAGGACUGUUACCUUGAAAAAAAUUAGAGUGUUUAAAGCAGGCUCACGCUUGAAUACAUUAGCAUGGAAUAAUGAAAAUAGGACAUCCGAUUCUAUUUUGUUGGUUUCUAGGAUCGAUGUAAUGAUUAAUAGGGAUAGUUGGG
RNAcentral lists this ribosomal RNA (245 nucleotides) under uncultured Funneliformis. RNAcentral's name for it is "partial 18S ribosomal RNA". It matches the Rfam family "Eukaryotic small subunit ribosomal RNA", at positions 636 to 886 of the family's 1831-position model. The record is from RNAcentral. Lineage: Eukaryota; Fungi; Glomeromycota; Glomeromycetes; Glomerales; Glomeraceae.